GUGGGGGAUAUUUUUCAUCUGAGAGUUUGAUCCUGGCUCAGGACGAACGCUGGCGGCGUGCUUAACACAUGCAAGUCGAACGGAAAGGCCCUGCUUUUGUGGGGUGCUCGAGUGGCGAACGGGUGAGUAACACGUGAGUAACCUGCCCUUGACUUUGGGAUAACUUCAGGAAACUGGGGCUAAUACCGGAUAGGAGCUCCUGCUGCAUGGUGGGGGUUGGAAAGUUUCGGCGGUUGGGGAUGGACUCGCGGCUUAUCAGCUUGUUGGUGGGGUAGUGGCUUACCAAGGCUUUGACGGGUAGCCGGCCUGAGAGGGUGACCGGCCACAUUGGGACUGAGAUACGGCCCAGACUCCUACGGGAGGCAGCAGUGGGGAAUAUUGCACAAUGGGCGGAAGCCUGAUGCAGCAACGCCGCGUGCGGGAUGACGGCCUUCGGGUUGUAAACCGCUUUCGCCUGUGACGAAGCGUGAGUGACGGUAAUGGGUAAAGAAGCACCGGCUAACUACGUGCCAGCAGCCGCGGUAAU
Molecule: ribosomal RNA, 526 nt
Filed under: Cutibacterium avidum
Lineage: Bacteria; Bacillati; Actinomycetota; Actinomycetes; Propionibacteriales; Propionibacteriaceae
Description: bacterial SSU rRNA
Rfam family: Bacterial small subunit ribosomal RNA
Source: RNAcentral